This 20-nucleotide ribosomal RNA is filed under the name Arceuthobium rubrum. RNAcentral describes it as "partial 26S ribosomal RNA". The record is from RNAcentral. Lineage: Eukaryota; Viridiplantae; Streptophyta; Magnoliopsida; Santalales; Viscaceae.
UUUUGACCUCGGGUCAAGCA